RNAcentral lists this ribosomal RNA (327 nucleotides) under uncultured eukaryote. RNAcentral describes it as "partial 18S ribosomal RNA". It matches the Rfam family "Eukaryotic small subunit ribosomal RNA", at positions 1470 to 1796 of the family's 1831-position model. The record is from RNAcentral.
CCCUUAGAUGUUCUGGGCCGCACACGCGCUACACUGAAGGAGGCAGCGUGUACUCCUGGAUCGAAAGAUUUGGGUAACCCGCGAAUCUCCUUCGUGCUAGGGAUUGAGGUUUGCAAUUAUCCUUCAUGAACGAGGAAUUCCCAGUAAGUGCAAGUCAUAAGCUUGCGCUGACUACGACCCUGCCCUUUGUACACACCGCCCGUCGCUACUACCGAUUGAAUGAUUUAGUGAGGACUUCGGACUGGGACCGAUGCGGCUUUCGGGCUGCGUCGGUAUUCUGGAAAGAUGUCCAAACUGUAUCAUUUAGAGGAAGUAAAAGUCGUAACA